GUUGGUUCAGGCAAUCGCUCUUUGCUAUAGCAAGGGGAGGAAAGUCCGGGCUCCAAAGGGUAGAGUGCCAGGUAACGCCUGGGAGGCGUGAGCCUACGGAAAGUGCCACAGAAAAUAUACCGCCUCUGUUAAGGGGUAAGGGUGAAAUGGUGCGGUAAGAGCGCACCGCGCGACUGGCAACAGUCGUGGCAGGGAAAACCCCACUCGGAGCAAGACCAAAUAGGAAUCCAUGUGGCUGCAAAGCCAUGACGUGCGACCCGUACGGGAUUCGGGUAGGUUGCUUGAGGCAUACGGUGACGUAUGCCCCAGAUGAAUGAUUGUCCAUGACAGAACCCGGCUUAC
Molecule: RNase P RNA, 342 nt
Filed under: Legionella sp.
Lineage: Bacteria; Pseudomonadati; Pseudomonadota; Gammaproteobacteria; Legionellales; Legionellaceae
Description: ribonuclease P RNA
Rfam family: Bacterial RNase P class A
About the family: Ribonuclease P (RNase P) is a ubiquitous endoribonuclease, found in archaea, bacteria and eukarya as well as chloroplasts and mitochondria. Its best characterised activity is the generation of mature 5'-ends of tRNAs by cleaving the 5'-leader elements of precursor-tRNAs. Cellular RNase Ps are ribonucleoproteins.
Source: RNAcentral